GGCUGUGGGCUUUGGCGGGCACAGGGCUGAGAGUCGGAGGUGGGGUAAAGCCACCCAGGAAGCCUGGGGUGCAGACCCGGAGCUCCAGUUUCCUCCAGAAUGAGCAAUUCCACGUUUUGAAAAUGACUGUCUUCAACCAUUACAGAGUCGAAUGCAAACGCUCAUCAGUUUUAAGAUGCUGGUCCUGAAACAGCAGCGUGGACCCUCCCUCAGCGUGGAGCCUCACUCCUGCCCAUCUCACCGCGUGCCUGUCGUCUCAUGUCCCUGCUGCAGGGCAGGGACCCCGCCUGGUAACACCGGGACAGCCACCCGGACAGCGCUGGGACUGGUGGCAGCCAGAACACGACGGACACCCAGCCCCUACCUGUGCAGGCCGGGGGACAAGACCACAAGCAGAUUCCUUUGGGGGAUCCCCAAAAUUCCAACCCAGGAGUUAAUACCACAACGCUACAUAUGCAGUCCCAGACAACCUCCCGCUGUGUGAAAUCAUGCAUUUAGAAACAGAUACAACAAAACACCAAUUAAAAACAAAACAGCGCUACUGGUAAAAAAGGGUCAGGGCAGAUUGCUCGAACCCUAUGAAAUUGUGAUCAAAGCACUUGUGGAAAAACCGCAAUUGCUCUAAAAACCCCUCCCCGUACAAUCCAGUGUCAUGGUCAGAGACUCCCUCGAGCCUGGAAACUC
RNAcentral lists this long non-coding RNA (684 nucleotides) under Mustela putorius furo (domestic ferret). Its description in RNAcentral is "lncRNA (ENSMPUG00000029539.1)". Lineage: Eukaryota; Metazoa; Chordata; Mammalia; Carnivora; Mustelidae. The record is from RNAcentral.